GUUAGUGCUGUAUAAUGAUAUACACCACACAUCUGCUGGCAGUGCUGUAUCAAUGAUAUACACCACACAUCUGCUGUUAGUGCUGUAUCAAUGAUAUACACCACACAUCUGCUGUUAGUGCUGUAUUAAUGAUAUACACCACACAUCUGCUGUUAGUGCUGUAUUAAUGAUAUACACCACACAUCUGCUGUUAGUGCUGUAUCAAUGAUAUAAACCACACAUCUGCUGUUAGUGCUGUAUUAAUGAUAUACACCACACAUCUGCUGUUAGUGCUGUAU
Molecule: long non-coding RNA, 278 nt
Filed under: Mytilus galloprovincialis (Mediterranean mussel)
Lineage: Eukaryota; Metazoa; Mollusca; Bivalvia; Mytilida; Mytilidae
Source: RNAcentral